GGGCCCGUGGGGUAGAGGAAAUCCUGAGGGCCUCCGGAGCCCUCGACCCGGGUUCAAUUCCCGGCGGGCCCG
RNAcentral lists this transfer RNA (72 nucleotides) under Archaeoglobales archaeon. Its description in RNAcentral is "tRNA-Arg". It matches the Rfam family "tRNA". Rfam says of the family: Transfer RNA (tRNA) molecules are approximately 80 nucleotides in length. The record is from RNAcentral. RNAcentral also lists the same sequence under 2 other names. Lineage: Archaea; Methanobacteriati; Methanobacteriota; Archaeoglobi; Archaeoglobales.